AUGUAAGUUACUCCAGACCAUAUCCCUCGAACAAGAAGAAUGCUUAUAAACACCAUGCUUCCAAAUGUGCAAACCACCUCAAGAAGCCCCUUGAGGAUCCACAAGAAGGUGAGAACCAGCACACCAUUGACCGAGAACUUCACCUGCACGCCGGGGACGGAGGGCGGCAGCACGGACCUGGCGGCGCGGCGCGCGCGGCGGGAGGCCUUCCUGAACACCGAGUGGAGGAACCGGGCCAGGAGGUCCAGGCUGCGGUCGUCGUCGUCUUCGUCCGCAUCGUCCUCCUCGUCUCCAUCUUCCUCCCUCCCGUCCCGGUAG
This 318-nucleotide ribosomal RNA is filed under the name Triticum aestivum (bread wheat). RNAcentral describes it as "partial small subunit ribosomal RNA". Lineage: Eukaryota; Viridiplantae; Streptophyta; Magnoliopsida; Poales; Poaceae. The record is from RNAcentral.